GGCUGUAGCUCAGUGGUAGAGCACUUGCCUAGCACGUGUGAGGCACUGGGUUCGAUUCUCAGCACCA
This 67-nucleotide transfer RNA is filed under the name Marmota monax (woodchuck). RNAcentral's name for it is "tRNA.Ala". It matches the Rfam family "tRNA", at positions 6 to 65 of the family's 71-position model. Rfam says of the family: Transfer RNA (tRNA) molecules are approximately 80 nucleotides in length. Lineage: Eukaryota; Metazoa; Chordata; Mammalia; Rodentia; Sciuridae. The record is from RNAcentral.